CCUACGGGUGGCAGCAGUGGGGAAUAUUGGGCAAUGGGCGCAAGCCUGACCCAGCAACGCCGCGUGAAGGAAGAAGGCUUUCGGGUUGUAAACUUCUUUUCUCAGGGACGAAGCAAGUGACGGUACCUGCGGAAUAAGCCACGGCUAACUACGGGCAAGCAGCCGCGGGAAUACGUAGGGCGCAAGCGUUAUCCGGAUUUACUGGGUGUAAAGGGCGUGUAGGCGGGACUGCAAAGCCGAUGUGAAAACCACGGGGUCAACCUGUGGCCUGCAUUUGAAACUGUAGUUCUUGAGUACUGGAGAGGCAGGCGGAAUUCGUGGUGUAGCGGUGAAAUGCAUAGAUAUUAGGAAGAACACCAGUGGCGAAGGCGGUCUGCUGGACAGCAACUGACGCUGAGGCGCGAAAGCGUGGGGAGCAAACAUGAUUAGAUACCCGAGUAGUC
Molecule: ribosomal RNA, 443 nt
Filed under: uncultured bacterium
Lineage: Bacteria
Description: partial 16S ribosomal RNA
Rfam family: Bacterial small subunit ribosomal RNA
Source: RNAcentral